AGCUUGGCACAGUGGCAGUCUUGUAGCCAAUGAGGUUUAUCCGAGGUGCGAUUAUUGCUAAUUGAAAAUAACUUUUAAGGGCUGCUUGGGAGGCUCGGUCGGUUAAGCAUCGAACUCUUGAUUUCAGC
Molecule: small nuclear RNA, 128 nt
Filed under: Panthera tigris altaica (Amur tiger)
Lineage: Eukaryota; Metazoa; Chordata; Mammalia; Carnivora; Felidae
Description: U4 spliceosomal RNA (ENSPTIG00000002356.1)
Rfam family: U4 spliceosomal RNA
About the family: U4 small nuclear RNA (U4 snRNA) is a component of the major U2-dependent spliceosome. The structure of U4 snRNA from yeast and human has been reported.
Source: RNAcentral